This 301-nucleotide ribosomal RNA is filed under the name uncultured bacterium. Its description in RNAcentral is "partial 16S ribosomal RNA". It matches the Rfam family "Bacterial small subunit ribosomal RNA", at positions 509 to 807 of the family's 1533-position model. The record is from RNAcentral.
CAGUCGCCGCGGGAAUACGGAGGGUGCAAGCGUUAAUCGGAAUUACUGGGCGUAAAGCGCACGCAGGCGGUCUGUCAAGUCAGAUGUGAAAUCCCCGGGCUUAACCUGGGAACUGCAUUUGAAACUGGCAGGCUAGAGUCUUGUAGAGGGGGGUAGAAUUCCAGGUGUAGCGGUGAAAUGCGUAGAUAUGCGGAGGAACACCGAUGGCGAAGGCAAUCCCCUGGGCCUGUACUGACGCUCAUGCACGAAAGCGUGGGGAGCAAACAGGAUUAGAUACCCGGGUAGUCCCUGUCUCUUAUAC